GACGAACGCUGGCGGCGUGCCUAAUACAUGCAAGUCGAACGAGAGCAACCUGUUCUUGUUCUGUUCAAUCUUGUGGCUAACGGGUGAGUAACACGUGGGUAACCUUCUCAUCAUUGGGGGAUAAUAUCCGGAAUCGGAUUCUUAAACCGCAUAGUUCUUCGAACCGCAUGGUUUGUUGAGGAAUAGAGGCGCUAGCGUCUGCUUUCGGAUGUUCCCGCGUUGCAGUAGCGAGUUGGUGGGGUAACGGCUUACCAAGGUCGCGAUUGAUAGCGGAACUGAGAGGGGGAUCGGCGACAUUGGAACUGGAACACGGACCAAACUCCUACGGGAGGCAGCAGUAGGGAAUGUUCCGCAAUGGACGCAAGUCUGACGCAGCAACGCCGCGUGAGUGAAGAAGGUGUUCGGAUCGUAAAGCUCUGUUGUUGGGGAAGAACAGGUGCUAGAGUAAAUGUUGGCGGAUUGACGGUAACUAAACAGAAAGCAACGGCUAACUACGUG
RNAcentral lists this ribosomal RNA (498 nucleotides) under uncultured bacterium. RNAcentral describes it as "partial 16S ribosomal RNA". It matches the Rfam family "Bacterial small subunit ribosomal RNA", at positions 28 to 507 of the family's 1533-position model. The record is from RNAcentral.